GCCGGCGUAGCUCAGUUGGAAGAGCAACUGACUUGUAAUCAGUAGGUCAUGGGUUCGACUCCCAUCGCCGGCU
This 73-nucleotide transfer RNA is filed under the name Anaerolineales bacterium. Its description in RNAcentral is "tRNA-Thr". It matches the Rfam family "tRNA". From Rfam's summary of the family: Transfer RNA (tRNA) molecules are approximately 80 nucleotides in length. RNAcentral also lists the same sequence under 1 other name. Lineage: Bacteria; Bacillati; Chloroflexota; Anaerolineae; Anaerolineales. The record is from RNAcentral.